AACGAACGCUGGCGGCAUGCCUAACACAUGCAAGUCGAACGAGAUCUUCGGGUCUAGUGGCGCACGGGUGCGUAACGCGUGGGAAUCUGCCCUUUGGUUCGGAAUAACAGUUGGAAACGACUGCUAAUACCGGAUGAUGACGAAAGUCCAAAGAUUUAUCGCCAGAGGAUGAGCCCGCGUAGGAUUAGCUAGUUGGUGUGGUAAAGGCGCACCAAGGCGACGAUCCUUAGCUGGUCUGAGAGGAUGAUCAGCCACACUGGGACUGAGACACGGCCCAGACUCCUACGGGAGGCAGCAGUGGGAAUAUCGGACAAUGGGCGAAAGCCUGAUCCAGCAAUGCCGCGUGAGUGAUGAAGGCCUUAGGGUUGUAAAGCUCUUUUACCCGGGAUGAUAAUGACAGUACUGGGAGAAUAAGCUCCGGCUAACUCCGUGCCAGCCGCCGCGGUAA
Molecule: ribosomal RNA, 448 nt
Filed under: uncultured bacterium
Lineage: Bacteria
Description: partial 16S ribosomal RNA
Rfam family: Bacterial small subunit ribosomal RNA
Source: RNAcentral